GGGUUGUGAGGUUAAGCGACUAAGCGUACACGGUGGAUGCCCUGGCAGUCAGAGGCGAUGAAGGACGUGCUAAUCUGCGAAAAGCGUCGGUAAGGUGAUAUGAACCGUUAUAACCGGCGAUGUCCGAAUGGGGAAACCCAGUGUGAUUCGUCACACUAUCGUUAACUGAAUACAUAGGUUAACGAGGCGAACCGGGGGAACUGAAACAUCUAAGUACCCCGAGGAAAAGAAAUCAACCGAGAUUCCCCCAGUAGCGGCGAGCGAACGGGGAGCAGCCCAGAGUCUGAAUCAGCUUGUGUGUUAGUGGAACGGUCUGGAAAGUCCGACGGUACAGGGUGAUAGUCCCGUACACCAAAAUGCACAGGUUGUGAACUCGAAGAGUAGGGCGGGACACGUGGUAUCCUGUCUGAAUAUGGGGGGACCAUCCUCCAAGGCUAAAUACUCCUGACUGACCGAUAGUGAACCAGUACCGUGAGGGAAAGGCGAAAAGAACCCCGGCGAGGGGAGUGAAAAAGAACCUGAAACCGUGUACGUACAAGCAGUGGGAGCACCUUCGGGUGUGACUGCGUACCUUUUGUAUAAUGGGUCAGCGACUUAUAUUCUGUAGCAAGGUUAACCGUAUAGGGGAGCCGCAGGGAAACCGAGUCUUAACUGGGCGUUAAGUUGCAGGGUAUAGACCCGAAACCCGGUGAUCUAGCCAUGGGCAGGUUGAAGGUUGGGUAACACUAACUGGAGGACCGAACCGACUAAUGUUGAAAAAUUAGCGGAUGACUUGUGGCUGGGGGUGAAAGGCCAAUCAAACCGGGAGAUAGCUGGUUCUCCCCGAAAGCUAUUUAGGUAGCGCCUCGUGAACUCAUCUUCGGGGGUAGAGCACUGUUUCGGCUAGGGGGUCAUCCCGACUUACCAACCCGAUGCAAACUACGAAUACCGAAGAAUGUUAUCACGGGAGACACACGGCGGGUGCUAACGUCCGUCGUGAAGAGGGAAACAACCCAGACCGCCAGCUAAGGUCCCAAAGUCAUGGUUAAGUGGGAAACGAUGUGGGAAGGCACAGACAGCCAGGAUGUUGGCUUAGAAGCAGCCAUCAUUUAAAGAAAGCGUAAUAGCUCACUGGUCGAGUCGGCCUGCGCGGAAGAUGUAACGGGGCUAAACCAUGCACCGAAGCUGCGGCAGCGACACUAUGUGUUGUUGGGUAGGGGAGCGUUCUGUAAGCCUGCGAAGGUGGCCUGUGAGGGUUGCUGGAGGUAUCAGAAGUGCGAAUGCUGACAUAAGUAACGAUAAAGCGGGUGAAAAGCCCGCUCGCCGGAAGACCAAGGGUUCCUGUCCAACGUUAAUCGGGGCAGGGUGAGUCGACCCCUAAGGCGAGGCCGAAAGGCGUAGUCGAUGGGAAACAGGUUAAUAUUCCUGUACUUGGUGUUACUGCGAAGGGGGGACGGAGAAGGCUAUGUUAGCCGGGCGACGGUUGUCCCGGUUUAAGCAUGUAGGCGGAGGUUCCAGGUAAAUCCGGUACCUUUUAACGCUGAGGUGUGAUGACGAGGCACUACGGUGCUGAAGUAACAAAUGCCCUGCUUCCAGGAAAAGCCUCUAAGCAUCAGGUAACAUUAAAUCGUACCCCAAACCGACACAGGUGGUCAGGUAGAGAAUACCAAGGCGCUUGAGAGAACUCGGGUGAAGGAACUAGGCAAAAUGGUGCCGUAACUUCGGGAGAAGGCACGCUGGUGUGUAGGUGAAGUCCCUGCGGACGGAGCUGAGACCAGUCGAAGAUACCAGCUGGCUGCAACUGUUUAUUAAAAACACAGCACUGUGCAAACACGAAAGUGGACGUAUACGGUGUGACGCCUGCCCGGUGCCGGAAGGUUAAUUGAUGGGGUUAUCCGUAAGGAGAAGCUCUUGAUCGAAGCCCCGGUAAACGGCGGCCGUAACUAUAACGGUCCUAAGGUAGCGAAAUUCCUUGUCGGGUAAGUUCCGACCUGCACGAAUGGCGUAAUGAUGGCCAGGCUGUCUCCACCCGAGACUCAGUGAAAUUGAACUCGCUGUGAAGAUGCAGUGUACCCGCGGCAAGACGGAAAGACCCCGUGAACCUUUACUAUAGCUUGACACUGAACAUUGAGCCUUGAUGUGUAGGAUAGGUGGGAGGCUUUGAAGCGUGGACGCCAGUCUGCGUGGAGCCAACCUUGAAAUACCACCCUUUAAUGUUUGAUGUUCUAACGUUGGCCCCUUAUCGGGGUUGCGGACAGUGUCUGGUGGGUAGUUUGACUGGGGCGGUCUCCUCCCAAAGAGUAACGGAGGAGCACGAAGGUUAGCUAAUCCUGGUCGGACAUCAGGAGGUUAGUGCAAUGGCAUAAGCUAGCUUGACUGCGAGCGUGACGGCGCGAGCAGGUGCGAAAGCAGGUCAUAGUGAUCCGGUGGUUCUGAAUGGAAGGGCCAUCGCUCAACGGAUAAAAGGUACUCCGGGGAUAACAGGCUGAUACCGCCCAAGAGUUCAUAUCGACGGCGGUGUUUGGCACCUCGAUGUCGGCUCAUCACAUCCUGGGGCUGAAGUAGGUCCCAAGGGUAUGGCUGUUCGCCAUUUAAAGUGGUACGCGAGCUGGGUUUAGAACGUCGUGAGACAGUUCGGUCCCUAUCUGCCGUGGGCGCUGGAGAAUUGAGGGGGGCUGCUCCUAGUACGAGAGGACCGGAGUGGACGCAUCACUGGUGUUCGGGUUGUCAUGCCAAUGGCACUGCCCGGUAGCUAAAUGCGGAAGAGAUAAGUGCUGAAAGCAUCUAAGCACGAAACUUGCCCCGAGAUGAGUUCUCCCUGAGACUAUAAGUCUCCUGAAGGAACGUUGAAGACGACGACGUUGAUAGGCCGGGUGUGUAAGCGCAGCGAUGCGUUGAGCUAACCGGUACUAAUGAACCGUGAGGCUUAACCUUACAACGCCGAAGCUGUU
Molecule: ribosomal RNA, 2930 nt
Filed under: Klebsiella variicola
Lineage: Bacteria; Pseudomonadati; Pseudomonadota; Gammaproteobacteria; Enterobacterales; Enterobacteriaceae
Description: 23S ribosomal RNA
Rfam family: Bacterial large subunit ribosomal RNA
Source: RNAcentral